RNAcentral lists this long non-coding RNA (1282 nucleotides) under Oreochromis niloticus (Nile tilapia). Its description in RNAcentral is "lncRNA (ENSONIG00000032707.1)". Lineage: Eukaryota; Metazoa; Chordata; Actinopteri; Cichliformes; Cichlidae. The record is from RNAcentral.
AUGUUUGAGGAUCUGUUAGAAACCACGUGGUACUUGUGUGAUUUUAUAAGUCAUCCUUGUUUGGCCUCAGCUGCAUUGGAGCUCUACUUCUCUCCUGGUUCACCAAAGAAACUAUCACUGCACACAAUGCUUUUCCUCCAAGCUGCUGCUCUGUGCUGUCUGUGUUCAGUGAUGGUUACUAUGGCUGAAGAGCUGAUACAGAGUGAUUUAACUCUGACCAGGAGAGCUGGUGAAAGUGUCUCCUUCAGCUGUGGGGGAACUGACCAGUGCAGCAGUCCCAUUGUAGACUGGUACCAGAAGAAAGAUACAAGAGAUUCAUUCAGAAUGCUUCUUUCUAUCAGCACGAAAAAUGGUGCAAUUACUAAAGGCUACAACCACCCCGAGGAAGAAGACUUCUCAGCUGUAAAGAAACAGGACGGCUGGGAGUUGGAGAUAAAGAAAGUUAAAGACGUUCAUUCAGCCACCUACUACUGCUGUUGCUCUAAAAGUUCUCACAGUGACAAAUGAUCCCUGCAGGCUGAACAAAAACCAUCAGAGCAAAAGCAAGAAACCACAACCCACAUUCACAUAUUUCACCUCCAUCUCAGUCUGAGACACAAGAACAGAGUUACAGAAAUUUCAGCAUUUAAAUCACACAAAUCGAAGUAUUUAUAUCAGCAAACAGUGAAAUGACUAUUUGUAAUGAAGGCUGAGAGCUCAGUGGGAAGUUUUCUAGUCUAGUAUGUUUGCACUAAAUAAAAGUGGUUUACAUUCUAAUUGCUUAUUAUCUUAACAGAAAGGAAGAAAAAGAAACAAAGUGUUGAUGUUUUUAAUGAUAAGAUUUCAAAGUUACACAUUUCAGAACUCCUGAAAUCACCUCAAAUUAAAUCAAUCACCUCUAAUAAUCCACAGAGAGAUCAGCAGAAGAGAGAUCACUAAUGCAGGAAAGAUUAUCCAUAUGUGUGAAGAACACAAAAAGCGGGGCUGAAACAUGUUAUUGUGUUGUUAUAGUGUGAAGAAAUGUUUUCUAUGACACCGUUUUUCAGACUUUCACACUGAUGAUUAUUCUUCUUCACACCUCAGAUUCAGUGGAAAAAUUUCAAGACUGCAUCACUUGUUAAUCAGCAGCUGUAUGAUCUUCAGCUGCAGGGUGGUUUGAGGACCCGUUUGAAAUCACGUGAGCCUCGUCACAUGAUUUCAAACAGUAUCUUAUUAAUACUUGUUUGGCCUCUGCUCUGUCACAGUGCCAGUGUGAGGGUGUCAUGAAUAUUGAUGUUUCACAGCUGGUCCACCAGGGGGCACU